AUCAUAUUCAAAAAAAAGAGUUUGAUCCUGGCUCAGAAUGAACGCUAGCGAUAUGCUUAACACAUGCAAGUCGAACGUUGUUUCCAAGUUGAAAUGGAGACAAAGUGGCGAACGGGUGCGUAACACGUAGGAAUCUGCCAAACAGUUUGGGCCAAAUCCUGAAUGAAUGAAAGCUAAAAAGCGCUGUUUGAUGAGCCCACGUAGUAUUAGGUAGUUGGUUAGGUAAAGGCUGACCAAGCCUACGAUGCUUAGCUGGUCUUUUCGGAUGAUCAGCCACACUGGGACGGGAGGCAGCAGUGGGGAAUAUUGGACAAUGGGCGAAAGCCUGAUCCGGCAAUAUGGCGUGAGUGAAGAAGGGCAACGCAGCUUGUAAAGCUCUUUCAUCGAGUGUGCGAUUGUGACAAGACUCGAAUAAGAAGCCCCGGCUAACUUCGUGCCAGCAGCCGCGGUAAUACGAAGGGGGCUAGCGUUGUUCGGAAUGACUGGGCGUAAAGGGCGCGUAGGCGGUGAAUCCGGUUGAGAGUGAAAGUCGCCAGCUCAACUGGCGGAAUGCUUUCAAAACCAAUUCACUUGAGUGAGAUAGAGGAUAGUGGAAUUUCGUGUGUAGAGAUAAAAUUCACAGAUAUACGAAGGAACACCAAAAGCGAAGGCAGCUUUCUGGGUCUCUACUGACGCUGAGGUGCGAAAGCAUGGGGAGCAAACAGGAUUAGAUAGAUCCGGCCGGGCUCCAAAUCACACGGCCAAAGGUGUCCCCUCCGAUCGCGAGGUCAGAGUGUGCAUCCAGCUAUUUCGGGGAAACUUCGAUGAUGCGGAUGUACCAUUCAACAUCAAACAAUCCCGAGGGAAGUGCUUUGAUCUCGGAUCAAGGCACCCCGUAGAGACUAUGAAAAUAAGGAAAUAGGAGAUAUGAAAGAACAUGGGCAAAAGCUCUUGAAGCUAACAGAGCAUCGAAGAUGAGAAAGCAAGGCUUUUAGGCAAAGCUCAAACUCGUAACCUGCACUCGAAAAACCCAAGCAAAUAUCUUUGUCGGAUCUAAUGAAAUCAAUUAUCUUAGGAUAACUCCUGGGAGAUGGCAAGGUUAUCCGUUCGUCCUAGCCAAAUGAAGGAAGAUUACUUUCGGUGGAAAGUAGGCUCAUCACUGCAUAAAAUUUCGGCACCGAGUUCCGUGCAGCAGGGGCAAGCUGCGGAUGGCUUUAGCCAGAACAAGCAACUACUGAUGGCUUCGACAAAGAAUAUGUCAAGUUUUUAGCCAAGGUUUACGAACCUAUCCGAAGAAAUCGCAAGUACGGUAAUUAAACUUACUAGCGCCUCUGGUUCAGUACCGAGGAAUUUAAGAAACUGCUUUGAAUGAUCUUACCACACCCUUCCUGUGGCGAGCAUGAUCAGGAGAGCCUUACUAUUGGUUUACAAAGGUCCCGAAAUUCAACAACGCUGGAUCUCCGAAAUGAACGAAGCUCUGCCUCUUUUUUCGGAGUGCAUUGAACAAUAGUUAGCCAAAGCAACUGCAAAGAUUUAAUUUCAGAGAAUGAUAUAGUCCAUUUUUGAAGAUAGUCAUCACUACGUGAUCGUGAUAGGAUUAUUUAUUUUCCAUCAUGACCUCGAGAAGCAGCUAAGCUACUGAAAAAGGGCUCAAUGCUGGCGAAAAAGUAUCUUCAAUAUGACCCUGGUAGUCUAUGCCGUAAACGAUGAGUGUUCGUCCUUGGUCUGCGCUGUAUGCAAAACGGCGGAUCAGGGGCCCAGCUAACGCGUUAAGCACUCCGCCUGGGGAGUACGGCCGCAAGGCUGAAACUCAAAGGAAUUGACGGGGGCCCGCACAAGCGGUGGAGCAUGUGGUUUAAUUCGAUACAACGCGCAAAACCUUACCAGCCCUUGACAUAUGAAUAAGUUUGCUUGUCCUUAAUGGGAUGGUACGAAAAUUCAUACAGGUGCUGCAUGGCUGUCGUCAGCUCGUGGAGAUGUUGGGUUAAGUCCUAUAACGAGCGCAACCCUCGUUUUGUGUUGCUAAGACAUGCGUUUUGGAUCAAAGGGUCAAUCAUUGAGCACUUCAGACUGACGAAGACCACGCCAUUGGAAAAGGGUACUUCGACGAGCGCAGCUCUCAGAGCGCAGCACACAUAACAAUGUGGCACUCAGUCUUUGUAAAAAUGAUUGACAAUCCAUGCCAUAUACUGCACUCACAAAAAACUGCCGGUGACAAGCCGGAGGAAGGUGGGGAUGACGUCAAGUCCUCAUGGCCCUUAUGUCCUGGGCUACACACGUGCUACAAUGGCAAUUACAAUAGGAAGCAAGGCUUUAAGGCGGAGCGAAUCCAGAAAGAUGGCCUCAGUUCGGAUUGCACUCUGCAACUCGAGUGCAUGAAGGUGGAAUCGCUAGUAAUCGCGGAUCAGCAUGCCGCGGUGAAUACGUUCCCGGGCCUUGUACACACCGCCCGUCACACCAUGGGAAUUGGCUUCGCCCGAAGCAUCAGAUCAAGGAUCACCCAUUACUUCAGUGUUACACGCCGUUGUUGAGCGUGGUGUACCGGAGUAAUUGGUGGUCUAAUGUAGGAUACCAAGGUGGGGCUUUUGACUGGGGUGAAGUCGUAACAAGGUAGCCGUAGGGGAACCUGCGGCUGGAUCACCUCC
This 2624-nucleotide ribosomal RNA is filed under the name Andreaea rothii. RNAcentral's name for it is "bacterial SSU rRNA". It matches the Rfam family "Bacterial small subunit ribosomal RNA". Lineage: Eukaryota; Viridiplantae; Streptophyta; Andreaeopsida; Andreaeales; Andreaeaceae. The record is from RNAcentral.